Molecule: transfer RNA, 70 nt
Filed under: Panthera pardus (leopard)
Lineage: Eukaryota; Metazoa; Chordata; Mammalia; Carnivora; Felidae
Also listed under: 2 other names
Description: tRNA (ENSPPRG00000000036.1)
Source: RNAcentral
UCGUAGUAUAUAAAAUACCUUGGUCUUGUAAACCAAAAAAGGAGAACAUGUGCCCUCCCUAAGACUUCAA